UACGUAGGGGGCAAGCGUUGUCCGGAUUUAUUGGGCGUAAAGAGCGUGUAGGCGGCCGUACAGGUCAGCUGUGAAAACUCGAGGCUCAACCUCGAGACGUCGGUUGAAACCGUACGGCUAGAGUCCGGAAGAGGAGAGUGGAAUUCCCGGUGUAGCGGUGAAAUGCGCAGAUAUCGGGAAGAACACCCGUGGCGAAGGCGGCUCUCUGGGACGGUACUGACGCUGAGGCGCGAAAGCCAGGGGAGCAAACGGG
RNAcentral lists this ribosomal RNA (253 nucleotides) under uncultured bacterium. RNAcentral's name for it is "partial 16S ribosomal RNA". It matches the Rfam family "Bacterial small subunit ribosomal RNA", at positions 524 to 776 of the family's 1533-position model. The record is from RNAcentral.